AAUAGCUCAAAUUUGAAAGCUGGCGUCUUCGACGUCCGCGUUGUAAUUUGUAGAGGAUGUUUCGGCGAGGGCUCCUGCCUAAGUUCCCUGGAAUGGGACGUCACAGAGGGUGAGAAUCCCGUAUGUGGCGGGCGGCCUUAGCCAUGUGAAACUCCUUCGACGAGUCGAGUUGUUUGGGAAUGCAGCUCUAAAUGGGAGGUAAAUUUCUUCUAAAGCUAAAUACCGGCCAGAGACCGAUAGCGCACAAGUAGAGUGAUCGAAAGAUGAAAAGCACUUUGGAAAGAGAGUUAAAAAGUACGUGAAAUUGUUGAAAGGGAAGCGCUUGCAACCAGACUCGUUCGCAGUUGCUCAGCCCGCCUCUUGGUGGGUGUACUCUUCUGCGGUCGGGCCAGCAUCAGUCCGGGCGGUCGGAUAAAGGUGUCGGGAAUGUAGCACCCUUCGGGGUGUGUUAUAGCCCGGCGCGGAAUGCGGCCAGCCUGGACUGAGGAUCUCGCUUCGGCAAGGAUGCUGGCGUAAUGGUUGUAAGCGGCCCGUCUUGAAACACGGACCAAGGAGUCUAACAUCUAUGCGAGUGUUUGGGUGUCAAACCCAUGCGCGUAAUGAAAGUGAACGGAGGUGGGAACCCGUAAGGGUGCACCAUCGACCGAUCCUGAUGUCUUCGGAUGGAUUUGAGUAAGAGCAUAGCUGUUGGGACCCGAAAGAUGGUGAACUAUGCCUGAAUAGGGUGAAGCCAGAGGAAACUCUGGUGGAGGCUCGCAGCGGUUCUGACGUGCAAAUCGAUCGUCAAAUUUGGGUAUAGG
RNAcentral lists this ribosomal RNA (800 nucleotides) under Phyllosticta paracitricarpa. RNAcentral describes it as "eukaryotic LSU rRNA". It matches the Rfam family "Eukaryotic large subunit ribosomal RNA", at positions 103 to 921 of the family's 3401-position model. The record is from RNAcentral. Lineage: Eukaryota; Fungi; Ascomycota; Dothideomycetes; Botryosphaeriales; Phyllostictaceae.